Molecule: unclassified non-coding RNA, 610 nt
Filed under: Hevea brasiliensis (rubber tree)
Lineage: Eukaryota; Viridiplantae; Streptophyta; Magnoliopsida; Malpighiales; Euphorbiaceae
Source: RNAcentral
GCCCCUUUCUCCCUUCUAUCUAUUGACUCUCAUUUUCUUAGUCUCAGCUUCUCCUUCUCUUUCUCAACUCUCACAGUUGACACUUGGUAAUCUCCUCUUCUCCUUCACAAAUCACAAUCCUCUCAAUUCUCAACUUUCCUCAACUCAGACAAUUGGUCCUUUCUCACUCUAUUUCUCGAUGCUCAGCUGUGAUCCUCAUCUCUCCUCUUGACGAUCGUUUCUCAGUCAGCAUUCAGUAGUCAUUGUUCCACUCCACACAACAGCCAUCCUGCCAGUCAGGUCUAGUCAGCCACUUCUCUCCAUUUGUUGGUCGCAAGCCAACCAAGUCAUCUCGCCUCAAUUUUCAGGUCCCAAAAUAGAAGAAGCUCCCAAGCCUCUCUCUUUUUCUUCUCUAUUCCAAAUAAUGGAUUAAUUGGUUUUGGGCUCGAGUCUAUUUCAUGAGAUUUCCUUUUCUGAGUUGUUGACUUCUUAUGGGUGUGGCUAUUUUCAUGUAUUAAUUAAGCAUUAAUUGAUUUACGAAAUGUUGUCCUACAUUGGUUUGUGAUGAGGUAUUUGAACCAUGUAUAAGAUUUGGGUAAACUUCCUUCCCUUGAGCUAGCUUUUGGGGUAG